GUGAACUUGUGGUGGGCAUUGUUUCUUGGACUGUGGAGCACAUGGAUCCUUAGUUUGGGGUAUAAACGACAGGGGGUUGCUGACAGGUUUGCUUCACUUGCUGCUGCUGGGCUUUCUGGGGCAGGUGCUCUCUCCACUGCUGCUGCAGGAACAGGGGAGCCUAAAAGAAACCUAGGCAGUGGACACCAUGAGAAGUGUUCCCUCCACCAUCCCUACCUUCUGACUUCUAAAGCAAUGUUUCCUUACAAUGGCCAAGGACAUGAUAAGUGAUUAAUUGCCUCUAAUUGGUCAGUGAAUUGACUCACAUGCACCCAUUGUGAUCCUCUCCCUUUCAUUCUUCUUCUAUGCUAUUCUGACUUCAUUUCCUGUCUUCCUUCAUCCUCCCAUAGACUCCUGAUUUAACUGAAUAUAUAAUUGAUUUCUCAGUCUGCCCAGGAAACAAGAUGAAAUGCUGAGUUGAGGAUAAAAAGAUAGCGCAAACAUUUUAUAAGAUUGAGGCAUGAAGUCUUGGUUGAUGGGUGUGCAAUGUCAACUGGCUGCCUUGAGUAGUGCAGACAAAUAGGACAGGAGCUUGCCUAGUGGCUGGAGACAGUUUGAGAAGGAGUAAGGGCCCAGCAGGUCCCAGUAGGAAGAAUCCAAUCCCACUUACCAGAAGUGCAAGCAGGACCUCAGGAGAGGAGGCUGGGCACAGGAAGCUUUCCCUUGAGCACGAAGGACAAGAAUACAAAUGGUCACCCACAGGCUCACUGCCCCUGACCUGCCCCACCUCCCAGGAAUCGGCUGCUGGGCCAACCAGGAAACCAGGCUCUGCAUCUUGCCUCCCUAGGGAACAGACACCUGAGAGCAGGCAAAAAUCUAAGGACCUCAGAAGGGACUCUUCUCACCCCAACAGCCUCCUAAGCUGGAUCAUGUUAUCCUCAGAAGGAGGGAUCAUCUACUUCUGGAGUCAGUGCCUUUCCAAGUUUCCCUUGCUGGCUCAAGAUGGUGGUGUGGUUUGACGACGACAAAACGAUGCCCUGAUCAUACAGAACAGACUUUUUGUGGUGGAUUCAGCUACCUCAAGAGUGUAUAUACAGGAACAACUGGGCGGCUCAGUUGGCUAAAUGUCUGACUCUUGAUCUCAAAGUUGUGAGUUUAAGCCCCAUGUUGGGCAUCACAAAGUAUUACGCAGUACUGCUUCUACCACCAGGGGACAGGAAAAGGAAUGGGUAAUCUAGAAGCCACUAAUAAAACUAAACGCUUAUCUGAG
Molecule: long non-coding RNA, 1249 nt
Filed under: Vulpes vulpes (red fox)
Lineage: Eukaryota; Metazoa; Chordata; Mammalia; Carnivora; Canidae
Description: lncRNA (ENSVVUG00000015753.1)
Source: RNAcentral